This 491-nucleotide ribosomal RNA is filed under the name uncultured bacterium. Its description in RNAcentral is "partial 16S ribosomal RNA". It matches the Rfam family "Bacterial small subunit ribosomal RNA", at positions 29 to 506 of the family's 1533-position model. The record is from RNAcentral.
AGUGAACGCUGGCGGUAGGCCUAACACAUGCAAGUCGAACGGCAGCACAGUAAGAGCUUGCUCUUACGGGUGGCGAGUGGCGGACGGGUGAGGAAUACAUCGGAAUCUACUUUUUCGUGGGGGAUAACGUAGGGAAACUUACGCUAAUACCGCAUACGACCUACGGGUGAAAGCAGGGGAUCUUCGGACCUUGCGCGAUUGAAUGAGCCGAUGUCGGAUUAGCUAGUUGGCGGGGUAAAGGCCCACCAAGGCGACGAUCCGUAGCUGGUCUGAGAGGAUGAUCAGCCACACUGGAACUGAGAAACGGUCCAGACUCCUACGGGAGGCAGCAGUGGGGAAUAUUGGACAAUGGGCGCAAGCCUGAACCAGCCAUACCGCGUGGGUGAAGAAGGCCUUCGGGUUGUAAAGCCCUUUUGUUGGGAAAGAAAAGCAGCAGGUUAAUACCCCGCUGUUCUGACGGUACCCAAAGAAUAAGCACCGGCUAACUUCGU